RNAcentral lists this ribosomal RNA (497 nucleotides) under uncultured bacterium. RNAcentral's name for it is "partial 16S ribosomal RNA". It matches the Rfam family "Bacterial small subunit ribosomal RNA", at positions 28 to 507 of the family's 1533-position model. The record is from RNAcentral.
GAUGAACGCUGGCGGCGUGCCUAAUACAUGCAAGUCGAGCGAACAGAUAAGGAGCUUGCUCCUUUGACGUUAGCGGCGGACGGGUGAGUAACACGUGGGUAACCUACCUAUCAGACUGGAAUAACUCCGGGAAACCGGGGCUAAUGCCGGAUAACAUUUAGAACCGCAUGGUUCUAAAGUGAAAGAUGGUUUUGCUAUCACUUAUAGAUGGACCCGCGCCGUAUUAGCUAGUUGGUAAGGUAACGGCUUACCAAGGCAACGAUACGUAGCCGACCUGAGAGGGUGAUCGGCCACACUGGAACUGAGACACGGUCCAGGCGCCUACGGGAGGCAGCAGUAGGGAAUCUCCCGCAAUGGGCGAAAGCCUGACGGAGCAACGCCGCGUGAGUGAUGAAGGUCUUCUGAUCGUAAAACUCUGUUAUUAGGGAAGAACAAAUGUGUAAGUAACUGUGCACGUCUUGACGGUACCUAAUCAGAAAGCCACGGCUAACUACGUG